This 300-nucleotide ribosomal RNA is filed under the name uncultured bacterium. RNAcentral's name for it is "bacterial SSU rRNA". It matches the Rfam family "Bacterial small subunit ribosomal RNA", at positions 339 to 631 of the family's 1533-position model. The record is from RNAcentral.
CUACGGGAGGCUGCAGUGGGGAAUCUUGCGCAAUGCGCGAAAGCGUGACGCAGCAACGCCGCGUGGGGGAAGACGGCCUUCGGGUUGUAAACCCCUUUCAGUUGGGACGAAGCUUCGACGGUUAAUAGCCGGCCGGAGUGACGGUACCUUCAGAAGAAGCCCCGGCUAACUACGUGCCAGCAGCCGCGGUAAUACGUAGGGGGCAAGCGUUGUCCGGAAUCAUUGGGCGUAAAGAGCGUGUAGGCGGUUCAGUAAGUCUGCUGUGAAAGUCCAAGGCUCAACCUUGGGAUGCCGGUGGAA